Molecule: long non-coding RNA, 912 nt
Filed under: Coturnix japonica (Japanese quail)
Lineage: Eukaryota; Metazoa; Chordata; Aves; Galliformes; Phasianidae
Description: lncRNA (ENSCJPG00005002999.1)
Source: RNAcentral
CUCCCGACGGGGACACUGAGGGGGCAACACGGGAUGACACGCGUGUUCGUGGCGUCACGUGGGUGUGUCGGCGUCAGAACACGCGUGUUGGUGUCAUAACGUGUGUGUCGGCAUCACAACACGCGUGUUGGUGUCAUAAUGUGUGUGUCGGCAUCGCAACACGCGUGUUGGUGUCAUAACAUGUGUGUGUUGGCAUCACAACACGCGUGUUGGUGUCAUAACGUGUGUGUGUCGGCGUCAGAACACGCAUGUUGGUGUCAUAACGUGUGUGUCGGCGUCAGAACACGCGUGUUGGUGUCAUAACAUGUGUGUGUCGGCAUCACAACACGCGUGUUGGUGUCAUAACAUGUGUGUGUGUCGGCAUCACAACACGCGUGUUGGUGUCAUAACAUGUGUGUGUCAGCAUCACAACACGCGUGUUGGUGUCAUAACAUGUGUGUGUCGGCAUCACAACACGCGUGUUGGUGUCAUAACACACGUGUCAGUAUCAGAACACGUGUGUGUCAGCAUCACAACAUGUGUGUUGGCAUCAUAACACACGUGUCAGCUUCAUAACACGUGUGUCAGAAUCACCACAUGUGUGUCAGCAUCAGAACACACGUGUGUCAGCACUGGAACAUACAUGUCGGCAUCGUAACACGUCUGUCAGUAUCAUAACACACGUGUCUGCAUCAUAACACGCAUGUCAGCAUCAUAACACGUGUGUCAGCUUCAUAACACGCGUGUUGGCAUCGUAACACGCGUGUCAGCACUGCAACAUACAUGUCAGCAUCGUAACACGUGUGUCAGCAUCACAACACACGUGUCAGCACUGAAACAUACAUGUCAGCUUCACAACACACGUGUCAGCACCCCACAUGCGUGUCCUUCCUCCCCCCCCCCACCCCACAUGUAUGUCCCCCCCCCAUAUAU